Molecule: small RNA, 132 nt
Filed under: Klebsiella quasipneumoniae
Lineage: Bacteria; Pseudomonadati; Pseudomonadota; Gammaproteobacteria; Enterobacterales; Enterobacteriaceae
Description: RtT sRNA
Rfam family: RtT RNA
About the family: This family represents a bacterial cis-regulatory element known as RtT RNA. The exact function of RtT is unknown although it is thought that it may be involved in changing the cellular response in relation to amino acid starvation.
Source: RNAcentral
UAUUCUGCCCCACGGGGAAGGAUGAGAAGCUUCGACUAAGGUUCGACUCGAGCGUAGCGAGAGAACGUUGCCGCAGGCAACGGCCCGAAGGGCGAGGCGCGUUAGCGCCGAGUCAUCCUUUCCCCACCACCA